CGAGAGGACCGGGAUGGACGAACCUCUAGUGUACCAGUUGUCUCGCCAGAGGCAGUCGCUGGGUAGCUACGUUCGGUCGGGAUAAACGCUGAAUGCAUCUAAGCGUGAAGCCCACUCCAAGAUGAGAUCUCCCAACCGCAAGGUAAGAAGACCCGUAGUAGACCACUACGUUGAUAGGCUGGGUGUGUAAGGUCAGUAAUGGCUUCAGCUAACCAGUACUAAUCGGUCGUUCGGCUUGACCAU
This 243-nucleotide ribosomal RNA is filed under the name Acidobacteriota bacterium. RNAcentral's name for it is "partial 23S ribosomal RNA". It matches the Rfam family "Bacterial large subunit ribosomal RNA", at positions 2684 to 2925 of the family's 2925-position model. Lineage: Bacteria; Pseudomonadati; Acidobacteriota. The record is from RNAcentral.